CAGCAGCCGCGGUAAUACGUAGGGUGCGAGCGUUAAUCGGAAUUACUGGGCGUAAAGCGUGCGCAGGCGGUUGUGUAAGACAGGUGUGAAAUCCCCGGGCUUAACCUGGGAACUGCGCUUGUGACUGCACAACUAGAGUAUGGCAGAGGGGGGUGGAAUUCCACGUGUAGCAGUGAAAUGCGUAGAGAUGUGGAGGAACACCGAUGGCGAAGGCAGCCCCCUGGGCCAAUACUGACGCUCAUGCACGAAAGCGUGGGGAGCAAACAGGAUUAGAUACCCGCGUAGUCCCUGUCUCUUAUAC
RNAcentral lists this ribosomal RNA (301 nucleotides) under uncultured bacterium. RNAcentral describes it as "partial 16S ribosomal RNA". It matches the Rfam family "Bacterial small subunit ribosomal RNA", at positions 509 to 807 of the family's 1533-position model. The record is from RNAcentral.